UACGGAGGGUGCAAGCGUUAUCCGGAUUCACUGGGUUUAAAGGGUGCGUAGGUGGGUUGGUAAGUCAGUGGUGAAAUCCCCGAGCUUAACUUGGGAACUGCUAUUGAUACUAUCAGUCUUGAAUAUUGUGGAGGUGAGCGGAAUAUGUCAUGUAGCGGUGAAAUGCUUAGAUAUGACAUAGAACACCAAUUGCGAAGGCAGCUCGCUACACAUAUAUUGACUCUGAGGCACGAAAGCGUGGGGAGCAAACAGG
RNAcentral lists this ribosomal RNA (253 nucleotides) under uncultured bacterium. Its description in RNAcentral is "partial 16S ribosomal RNA". It matches the Rfam family "Bacterial small subunit ribosomal RNA", at positions 524 to 776 of the family's 1533-position model. The record is from RNAcentral.